Molecule: ribosomal RNA, 252 nt
Filed under: uncultured bacterium
Lineage: Bacteria
Description: partial 16S ribosomal RNA
Rfam family: Bacterial small subunit ribosomal RNA
Source: RNAcentral
UACGAACUGUGCAAACGUUAUUCGGAAUCACUGGGCUUACAGGGUGCGUAGGCGGCCUGACAAGUAGGGUGUGAAAGCCCCCGGCUCAACCGGGGAAUGGCGCCCUAAACUGUCGGGCUGGAGUGAGAUAGGGGUGUGCGGAACUUCCGGUGGAGCGGUGAAAUGUGUUGAUAUCGGAAGGAACGCCGGUGGCGAAAGCGGCACACUGGAUCUCAACUGACGCUGAGGCACGAAAGCCAGGGAGCGAACGGG